Molecule: ribosomal RNA, 496 nt
Filed under: uncultured bacterium
Lineage: Bacteria
Description: partial 16S ribosomal RNA
Rfam family: Bacterial small subunit ribosomal RNA
Source: RNAcentral
GAUGAACGCUGGCGGCGUGCCUAAUACAUGCAAGUCGAGCGAACAGACGAGGAGCUUGCUCCUCUGACGUUAGCGGCGGACGGGUGAGUAACACGUGGAUAACCUACCUAUAAGACUGGGAUAACUUCGGGAAACCGGAGCUAAUACCGGAUAAUAUAUUGAACCGCAUGGUUCAAUAGUGAAAGACGGUUUUGCUGUCACUUAUAGAUGGAUCCGCGCCGCAUUAGCUAGUUGGUAAGUAACGGCUUACCAAGGCAACGAUGCGUAGCCGACCUGAGAGGGUGAUCGGCCACACUGGAACUGAGACACGGUCCAGACUCCUACGGGAGGCAGCAGUAGGGAAUCUUCCGCAAUGGGCGAAAGCUUGACGGAGCAACGCCGCGUGAGUGAUGAAGGUCUUCGGAUCGUAAAACUCUGUUAUUAGGGAAGAACAAAUGUGUAAGUAACUAUGCACGUCUUGACGGUACCUAAUCAGAAAGCCACGGCUAACUACGUG